This is a long non-coding RNA of Mauremys reevesii (Reeves's turtle), 456 nucleotides long. RefSeq lists it as uncharacterized. The record is from RefSeq and is a predicted model, not a curated record. The transcript is spliced from 3 exons. NCBI's taxonomy places the organism in Eukaryota, Metazoa, Chordata, Testudines, Geoemydidae.
UACACCCUACAACAGAGUGCAGCAUGUUCUCCUCACCACCAGUCAAUGAGAAAAGCAGGUGGUGCCACAGAUUCACUCCUGCUGUGUCAUAACCCACAGGUCUCAAACCUGGAUCCACAGGGUCACCAGGCUCCACUUCUCCACCCAAUGGCUUACUGCACCUAUCAGGAGAAACAGAAGCCAGAACACAUACUGGCCAAAAAAAAAAAAAAGGGGACACGAUAAAUCGAUCCCCGAACGCGCUCCCCGUGGACUCCGGAACUCCACCAGGGGAAGAGGCGGAAGCAGAGUCGACGGAGUUGCUGCAGCCAUCAAUCCCACGCCGUGAGGAUGGGAGCUAUGAAAGCUAGAAAUUUCCUUAAAAAAACAUGAAAACUGAAAUUUUCAUGUUAUAACCUGACUCUUGAAAGAGCACCAAACACUGUGAGACAUGAGAUUAAAACAGUGAGAGCUGGC